Molecule: unclassified non-coding RNA, 205 nt
Filed under: uncultured fungus
Lineage: Eukaryota; Fungi
Description: sequence contains ITS1
Source: RNAcentral
GUAUUAAUUUAAAAGUCUUUCGACUUGAUAAACAUUCAAAGUAAAUUAUAAGAGUAUGUGAUUAACCAGAGUCUCUAUUUUACUAGCGACUCCGAUAAACAAGUGCACAGGUGUGUAUGGAUUAGAGGGAACGAGCACAUGCACAAAGGCCAGCAUCAAUUCCCUAAAUUCAUUAAUGAUCCUUCCGCAGGUUCACCUACGGAAA